UACGGAAGGUGCAAGCGUUAUCCGGUUUUAUUGGGUUUAAAGGGUGCGUAGGCGGCUUAUUAAGUCAGUUGUGAAAUCCUAGUGCUUAACGCUAGAACUGCGAUUGAUACUGGUAGGCUUGAGUCAAGAAGAGGUAAGUAGAAUUUAUGGUGUAGUAGUGAAAUGCUUAGAUAUCAUAAGGAAUACCAAAAGCGUAGGCAGCUUACUGGUCUUGAACUGACGCUGAGGCACGAAAGCGUGGGGAGCAAACAGG
RNAcentral lists this ribosomal RNA (253 nucleotides) under uncultured bacterium. RNAcentral's name for it is "partial 16S ribosomal RNA". It matches the Rfam family "Bacterial small subunit ribosomal RNA", at positions 524 to 776 of the family's 1533-position model. The record is from RNAcentral.